GACGAACGCUGGCGGCGUGCUUAACACAUGCAAGUCGAACGGAAAGGCCCUGCUUUUGUGGGGUGCUCGAGUGGCGAACGGGUGAGUAACACGUGAGUAACCUGCCCUUGACUUUGGGAUAACUUCAGGAAACUGGGGCUAAUACCGGAUAGGAGCUCCUGCUGCAUGGUGGGGGUUGGAAAGUUUCGGCGGUUGGGGAUGGACUCGCGGCUUAUCAGCUUGUUGGUGGGGUAGUGGCUUACCAAGGCUUUGACGGGUAGCCGGCCUGAGAGGGUGACCGGCCACAUUGGGACUGAGAUACGGCCCAGACUCCUACGGGAGGCAGCAGUGGGGAAUAUUGCACAAUGGGCGGAAGCCUGAUGCAGCAACUCCGCGUGCGGGAUGACGGCCUUCGGGUUAUAAACCGCUUUCGCCUGUGACGAAGCGUGAGUGACGGUAAUGGGUAAAGAAGCACCGGCUAACUACGUG
This 468-nucleotide ribosomal RNA is filed under the name uncultured bacterium. RNAcentral's name for it is "partial 16S ribosomal RNA". It matches the Rfam family "Bacterial small subunit ribosomal RNA", at positions 28 to 507 of the family's 1533-position model. The record is from RNAcentral.